AUCGCUUCUCGGCCUUUUGGCUAAGAUCAAAGUGUAGUAUCUGUUCUUAUCAGCUUAAUAUCUGAUACGAGGACCAUGUGUCCUCUUCGAUAUUAAACUUAUAUUUAGAAGGGGAUGAGGUUUCGGAGCUUGCUCCCUCCUCAUCACGGGUUGGCCUUGCAUUGCAGUACCGCAAGGAACGGCCCACUUCCC
Molecule: small nuclear RNA, 192 nt
Filed under: Tigriopus californicus
Lineage: Eukaryota; Metazoa; Arthropoda; Copepoda; Harpacticoida; Harpacticidae
Description: U2 spliceosomal RNA
Rfam family: U2 spliceosomal RNA
About the family: U2 is a small nuclear RNA (snRNA) component of the spliceosome (involved in pre-mRNA splicing). Complementary binding between U2 snRNA (in an area lying towards the 5' end but 3' to hairpin I) and the branchpoint sequence (BPS) of the intron results the bulging out of an unpaired adenosine, on the BPS, which initiates a nucleophilic attack at the intronic 5' splice site, thus starting the first of two transesterification reactions that mediate splicing.
Source: Rfam by way of RNAcentral